Molecule: ribosomal RNA, 403 nt
Filed under: uncultured bacterium
Lineage: Bacteria
Description: partial 16S ribosomal RNA
Rfam family: Bacterial small subunit ribosomal RNA
Source: RNAcentral
CCUACGGGUGGCUGCAGUGGGGAAUAUUGCGCAAUGGGCGAAAGACUGACGCAGCGACGCCGCGUGAGGGAUGAAGGUCUUCGGAUCGUAAACCUCUGUCAGCAGGGAAGAACGGUCACUGUGCUAAUCAGCAGUGAAUUGACGGUACCUGCAAAGGCAGCCCCGGCUAACUCCGUGCCAGCAGCCGCGGUAAUACGGAGGGUGCGAGCGUUGAUCGGAGUUACUGGGCGUAAAGCGCACGUAGGCGGUAUUGCAAGUCAAGAGUGAAAGCCCAGCGCUCAACGUUGGAAAGGCUUUUGAGACUGGCAAACUAGAGUAUGAGAGAGGAUAGUAGAAUUCCAGGUGUAGGGGUGAAAUGCGUAGAUAUCAGGAGGAACAUCAGUAGCGAAGGCGACAAUCUGGC